AUCCUGUAACUCUUGGUAAAUUGCAGCCACACUUCUGUCCUUCAAAGUCUGCCUGUGAUAACGGAACCUGCCGAGAUCCUUAAUGACAAGAAGAAACUGCGUCUCUCUCAUCAUCUUACUCUUGCAACAGAAUAAAUUACAGCGAAGAUACGAGCACCCUGGCGAUAUCUUCUGCGCACUGAUACGAUUGGCGUGUGGAGUUCAGUAGAAUAAAACUGUCCCUACAUUAAACUGCUCACUAAGAACUCUGUGGAUUAUCUUCAUUAAUUUGGUCGUGAUUCCUGAAACAACGAUGAUCUCCAUGGGAUUCCCUAUGAUCAUAGUGAUCACCGUCACUGCAACUUGUGCUUUGACCUGCUUUCCCUUCUCUGUUUUUAUGUACAUGCGGGGAUAUGAAAAGGGUUUGAAGAAUUCUGUGCUUCAUACGACUGUGGAGGAGGGACAGCGGCUUCCUGCUGGUGCGCAUGGGAACCAGGACAAAAUUGACAGACGACAACUGCUUGACAUUUACACAGAGGUCACCUACAGCCCAUUGUGACCUCUGACCUCAGCCACACCUCCACAGGUCAUGUGACCCAGAUAACCACACCCUCCAAGACUGGGUUACACACCUUAACCACACGCUCCUACAUGAGUUCAUUUUCAAAGAUAAGGGCUCAAUGUUCUCAUUCAGUUAUAAUUUUCAUUUUCAUGUUUACAUUAAAAUCUAGUUGACCUGUAUAAGGUGUAACCUGCUUUAUUUUCAGUGCUUAUUAAGGAAUAAAAUGUUGCUAUUAUUUGGUUCUGAAAAAUACCUUUCGUUGAAUCAUUUUUC
Paramormyrops kingsleyae is the source of this 814-nucleotide long non-coding RNA. RefSeq lists it as uncharacterized. The record is from RefSeq and is a predicted model, not a curated record. NCBI's taxonomy places the organism in Eukaryota, Metazoa, Chordata, Actinopteri, Osteoglossiformes, Mormyridae.